UACGGAGGGGGCUAGCGUUGUUCGGAAUUACUGGGCGUAAAGGGUGUGUAGGCGGUUGUUUAAGUUUGGUGUGAAAUCUCCCGGCUCAACUGGGAGGGUGCGCCGAAUACUGAAUGACUCGAGUGCGGGAGAGGAGAGUGGAAUUCCUGGUGUAGCGGUGAAAUGCGUAGAUAUCAGGAGGAACACCGGCGGUGUAGACGGCUCUCUGGACCGUAACUGACGCUGAGACACGAAAGCGUGGGUAGCAAACAGG
RNAcentral lists this ribosomal RNA (253 nucleotides) under uncultured bacterium. RNAcentral describes it as "partial 16S ribosomal RNA". It matches the Rfam family "Bacterial small subunit ribosomal RNA", at positions 524 to 776 of the family's 1533-position model. The record is from RNAcentral.